CCUACGGGGGACAGCAGUAAGGAAUCUUCCUCAAUGGGCGAAAGCCUGAUGCAGCAACGCCGCGUGGGUGAAGACGGUCUUCGGGUAGUAAAACCCUUUUGUUAGAGAAGUAAGUGCGUGAGCGUACUUGUUCACGUUUCUACGGUAUCUAAACAGAACGCCUCGGUGAACUACGUGCCAGCAGCCGCGGUAAUACGUAGGUGCCAAGCGUUAUCCGGUUUUAGUGGGCGUAAAGGGACCGCAGGCGGUUUGUUAAGUCUGGUGGAAAAGCCUGCGGCUUAACCGGAAUAGUGCAUUGGUAACUGGGAGACUGGAGUACAGAAGAGGAGAGAGGAACUCGAGGUGUAGCGGUGAAAUGCGUAGAUAUAAGGAAGAACACCGAUGGCGAAGGCAGCUCACUGGUCUGUAACUGACGCUGAGGUUCGAAAGCGUGGGUAGCAAACAGGAUUAGAUACCCUGGUAGUC
RNAcentral lists this ribosomal RNA (465 nucleotides) under uncultured bacterium. RNAcentral describes it as "partial 16S ribosomal RNA". It matches the Rfam family "Bacterial small subunit ribosomal RNA", at positions 338 to 795 of the family's 1533-position model. The record is from RNAcentral.